UGUGAAAUUUUUAAUUACUUGUAAAUUCUCUUAUAAUCUCUUGGAACUAAGAAAUUUAGAUUAAAAACCAGGAUUAGAUACCCUGUUAUUCUAAAUAAUCACAUGAGUAGGGUAGUAAAAGUUGUUCUUCAAACCCAAAGAUUUUGGCGGCAUUCCAUCCCAAUAGAGGAGCUUGUCCUGUAAUUGAUAGACCUCAUUUUAUCUUACCCUCUUUUGUUUAGCUUGUAUACCGCCGUUGUCAGACUACUUUAAAAGAAUGUUUUCUAUAAAAAUAUUUUUUUCACUUCAGGUCAAGGUGCAGCUUAUGGGAGGGUAGCGAUGAGCUACAAUUUUAAAUAAAAAUACGGACUCUAGGCUUAAAAACUGGAGGAAGGUGGAUUUAUUAGUAAAUUUAUUUAAGUAUAAUAAAUUGAAUAAGGCAAUGGAA
This 427-nucleotide ribosomal RNA is filed under the name Daphnia mitsukuri. RNAcentral's name for it is "partial 12S ribosomal RNA". Lineage: Eukaryota; Metazoa; Arthropoda; Branchiopoda; Diplostraca; Daphniidae. The record is from RNAcentral.